GCCAAACAUCCUGAUUAAAUAUUGAGAGCACUGCUAGAGACCCUGCCUACCGAUAAAGUCUUUGUGCGCCGUACUACAAUGUUAAGGUAAGAUGUGUUGUUACUACAACACUGCAGACCCAUUUUCCUCUUUCUUUAAUUGUAGAAACCAUUUUAAACAAGUAAUGAUUAACAACAGACAGAGACAUCGCUCCAGGCGUAGGAACAAAAGGACGUGUUUGCUUUUCUACAAUCACUCCUCGUUAGUAUAGUGGUAAGUAUCCCCGCCUGUCACGCGGGAGACCGGGGUUCGAUUCCCCGACGGGGAGUAUACACUUUUUCUCCUUAAAUAUUUACAGCAAAACUGGCUUAAUUACUUAUUUAAGAGUGCUGAAGAGUCAAUAAAAA
Danio rerio (zebrafish) is the source of this 386-nucleotide non-coding RNA. Lineage: Eukaryota; Metazoa; Chordata; Actinopteri; Cypriniformes; Danionidae. The record is from RefSeq and is a predicted model, not a curated record.